Molecule: small nuclear RNA, 206 nt
Organism: Esox lucius (northern pike)
Lineage: Eukaryota; Metazoa; Chordata; Actinopteri; Esociformes; Esocidae
Gene: U2
Rfam family: U2 spliceosomal RNA
About the family: U2 is a small nuclear RNA (snRNA) component of the spliceosome (involved in pre-mRNA splicing). Complementary binding between U2 snRNA (in an area lying towards the 5' end but 3' to hairpin I) and the branchpoint sequence (BPS) of the intron results the bulging out of an unpaired adenosine, on the BPS, which initiates a nucleophilic attack at the intronic 5' splice site, thus starting the first of two transesterification reactions that mediate splicing.
Source: Ensembl
UUCACCUUUGUGUAUGUAUGACAAUAAAAACGUUCCAAAAAAAAAUACAAAAAUCUGUUCUUAUCAGUUUAAUAUCUGAUACGUCCCCUAUCUGGGGACCAUAUAUUAAAUUGAUUUUUGGAAUAGGGAGAUGGAAUAGGGGCUUGCUCCGUCCACUCCACGCAUCGACCUGGUAUUGCAGUACCUCCAGGAACGGUGCACCCCCC